GAGUUUGAUCCUGGCUCAGGAUGAACGCUGGCGGUAUGCUUUACACAUGCAAGUCGUACGAAAGUUUUAACUUUAAGUGGCGGACGGGUGAGUAACACGUGAGAAUUUACCUUUAGGAGGGGGAUAACAAUUGGAAACAAAUGCUAAUACCCCAUAUGCUAUAUAGUGAAAAAAUAUUUUUGCCUGAAAAAAAGCUCGCGGCUGAUUAGCUUGUUGGUAAGGUAAUGGCUUACCAAGGCGAUGAUCAGUAUCUGGUUUUAGAGGAUGAUCAGACACACUGGAACUGAGACACGGUCCAGACUUCUACGGAAGGCAGCAGUGGGGAAUUUUCCGCAAUGGGCGAGAGCCUGACGGAGCAAUACCGCGUGAGGGAUGACGGCCCAUGGGUUGUAAACCUCUUUUUUUAGGGAUGAAUAAAUGACGUGUACCUGAAGAAUAAGCAUCGGCUAACUCUGUGCCAGCAGCCGCGGUAAUACAGGGGAUGCGAGCGUUAUCCGGAUUGAUUGGGCGUAAAGCGUUCGUAGGCGGUUUUUUAAGUCUGGUGUUAAAUUCCUAAGCUUAGCUUGGGUUCAGCGCGAGAAACUGGGAAGCUUGAGUUUGGUAGAGGCAAUAGGAACUCCCGGUGUAGCAGUGAAAUGCGUAGAGCUUGGGAAGAACACCAAAGGCGAAAGCAUAUUGCUGGGCCACGACUGACGCUAAGGGACGAAAGCUAAGGGAGCAAAUGGGAUUAGAUACCCCAGUAGUCUUAGCUGUAAACUAUGGAAACUAAGUCUUUUUUUAUUACUUUCUUUUCAAUCAAAGUGGAAUGCGAAGCUAAUAAGAGGGGGUUGAAGCUAACGCGUUAAGUUUCCCGCCUGGGAAGUACGCUCGCAAGAGUAAAACUCAAAGGAAUUGACGGGGGCCCGCACAAGCGGUGGAGCAUGUGGUUUAAUUCGAUGCAACGCGAAAAACCUUACCAGAAUUUGACAGAUCACUUAUCAUAUUAGGUAUUAGCGAAAGCUGUUUUAGUAAACAGGUGGUGCAUGGCCGUCGUCAGCUCGUGUCGUGAGAUGUUGGGUUAAGUCCCGCAACGAGCGCAACCCUUCUUUUUUGUUGCUACUAUGGAUCAAAAAAUACUGCCAAUAACAAAUUGGAGGAAGGUAAGGAUGACGUCAGGUCAGCAUGCCCCUUAUAUUCUGGGCAACGCACGUGCUACAAUGGCCAGAUCAAAACAAAACUUUUCUGUGAAGCAAGGUUAAUCGCCAAAUCUGAUCGUAGUUCAGAUUUGUCCCUGCAACUCGAGACAAUGAAGUUGGAAUCGCUAGUAAUCGCUGGUCAGCUAUACAGCGGUGAAUAUGUUCUCGGGCCUUGUACACACCGCCCGUCACACCAUGGAAACUGGUUAUGUUCGAAGCCACUAAUUUAACUUUUUAAAGGGAAGGGUGUCGAAAGCAGGGCUGGUAACUGGGGUGAAGUCGUAACAAGGUAACC
This 1470-nucleotide ribosomal RNA is filed under the name uncultured marine eukaryote. Its description in RNAcentral is "bacterial SSU rRNA". It matches the Rfam family "Bacterial small subunit ribosomal RNA". The record is from RNAcentral.